RNAcentral lists this ribosomal RNA (721 nucleotides) under Peribacillus simplex. RNAcentral's name for it is "bacterial SSU rRNA". It matches the Rfam family "Bacterial small subunit ribosomal RNA", at positions 46 to 750 of the family's 1533-position model. Lineage: Bacteria; Bacillati; Bacillota; Bacilli; Caryophanales; Bacillaceae. The record is from RNAcentral.
GCUAAUACAUGCAAGUCGAGCGAAUCAGAUGGGAGCUUGCUCCCUGAGAUUAGCGGCGGACGGGUGAGUAACACGUGGGCAACCUGCCUAUAAGACUGGGAUAACUUCGGGAAACCGGAGCUAAUACCGGAUACGUUCUUUUCUCGCAUGAGAGAAGAUGGAAAGACGGUUUACGCUGUCACUUAUAGAUGGGCCCGCGGCGCAUUAGCUAGUUGGUGAGGUAAUGGCUCACCAAGGCGACGAUGCGUAGCCGACCUGAGAGGGUGAUCGGCCACACUGGGACUGAGACACGGCCCAGACUCCUACGGGAGGCAGCAGUAGGGAAUCUUCCGCAAUGGACGAAAGUCUGACGGAGCAACGCCGCGUGAACGAAGAAGGCCUUCGGGUCGUAAAGUUCUGUUGUUAGGGAAGAACAAGUACCAGAGUAACUGCUGGUACCUUGACGGUACCUAACCAGAAAGCCACGGCUAACUACGUGCCAGCAGCCGCGGUAAUACGUAGGUGGCAAGCGUUGUCCGGAAUUAUUGGGCGUAAAGCGCGCGCAGGUGGUUCCUUAAGUCUGAUGUGAAAGCCCACGGCUCAACCGUGGAGGGUCAUUGGAAACUGGGGAACUUGAGUGCAGAAGAGGAAAGUGGAAUUCCAAGUGUAGCGGUGAAAUGCGUAGAGAUUUGGAGGAACACCAGUGGCGAAGGCGACUUUCUGGUCUGUAACUGACACUGAG